This 244-nucleotide long non-coding RNA is filed under the name Homo sapiens (human). Its description in RNAcentral is "HSALNT0359810". The record is from RNAcentral. Lineage: Eukaryota; Metazoa; Chordata; Mammalia; Primates; Hominidae.
UGCCUAGUGGGCGGUAAGCAGAACUGGCUCUGUGGGAUGGAUCGAAUUUGGCUAACCAAGUUUAUUCUCCUGGUGUUGUGGGUAACUGAGAAAAGGCUCUGGAUAGGGCUCUGACUUUGUUGGUAGUCAGUGGAGAUGAGGGAGCUUUGCCUUACACAUGGUUGGCACUUGAUAAUGUUUGACUGAGUGAAUGAAAGACAGUCUCAAGUCUCAUCAAGCAGAGGCUAUAAAGGAAUUAGAAAUU